GUGGGGAAUUUUGGACAAUGGGCGCAAGCCUGAUCCAGCAAUGCCGCGUGCAGGAAGAAGGCCUUCGGGUUGUAAACUGCUUUUGUACGGAACGAAACGGUCCUGGUUAAUACCUGGGGCUAAUGACGGUACCGUAAGAAUAAGCACCGGCUAACUACGUGCCAGCAGCCGCGGUAAUACGUAGGGUGCAAGCGUUAAUCGGAAUUACUGGGCGUAAAGCGUGCGCAGGCGGUUUUGUAAGACAGGCGUGAAAGCCCCGGGCUCAACCUGGGAAUGGCGCUUGUGACUGCAAAGCUGGAGUGCGGCAGAGGGGGAUGGAAUUCCGCGUGUAGCAGUGAAAUGCGUAGAUAUGCGGAGGAACACCGAUGGCGAAGGCAAUCCCCUGGGCCGGCACUGACGCUCAUGCACGAAAGCGUGGGGAGCAAACAGGAUUAGAUACCCGGGUAGUCC
Molecule: ribosomal RNA, 450 nt
Filed under: uncultured bacterium
Lineage: Bacteria
Description: partial 16S ribosomal RNA
Rfam family: Bacterial small subunit ribosomal RNA
Source: RNAcentral